This 467-nucleotide ribosomal RNA is filed under the name uncultured bacterium. Its description in RNAcentral is "bacterial SSU rRNA". It matches the Rfam family "Bacterial small subunit ribosomal RNA", at positions 29 to 506 of the family's 1533-position model. The record is from RNAcentral.
AUGAACGCUAGCGGAACGCCUAACACAUGCAAGUCGAACGGGACUUUAUUUGUAGCAAUACAGAUAAAGCCUAGUGGCAGACGAGCGAGUAACGCGUACUUAACUUGCCCUUAAGUUGGGAACAACUAUAGAGAUGUAGCUAAUUCCCAAUAUGCUCACGACGGUGAAAUUCCGAUGUGAGGAAAGAUUUAUCGCUUAAGGAGAGGGGUGCGUCCUAUCAUGGUAGUUGGUAAGGUAAUGGCUUACCAAGCCUUUGACGGGUAGCCGGUCUAAGAUGAUGUCCGGCCGCGAUGGAACUGAGAUACGGUCCAUACUCCUACGGGAGGCAGCAGUGGGGAAUCUUGCACAAUGGGCGAAAGCCUGAUGCAGCGAUUCCGCGUGGAGGAUGAAGCAUUACGGUGUGUAAACUCCUUUUCUGGUGGAAGACGAAUGACGGUACACCAGGAAUAAGGGACGGCUAACUACGU